AGAAUCAACGCUGGCGGCGUGCCUCAGACAUGCAAGUCGAACGCGAAAGUCUCCUUCGGGGGACAAGUAGAGUGGCGCACGGGUGAGUAACACGUAGGUAAUCUACCUUCGGGUGGGGAAUAACAACCGGAAACGGUUGCUAAUACCGCAUAAUGCAGCGGCACCUAAUGGUGACAGUUGUUAAAGCGGGGGAUCGCAAGAUCUCGCGCCUGAAGAGGAGCCUGCGGCGGAUUAGCUAGUUGGUAGGGUAAUGGCCUACCAAGGCGACGAUCCGUA
Molecule: ribosomal RNA, 276 nt
Filed under: uncultured soil bacterium
Lineage: Bacteria
Description: partial 16S ribosomal RNA
Rfam family: Bacterial small subunit ribosomal RNA
Source: RNAcentral